RNAcentral lists this ribosomal RNA (496 nucleotides) under uncultured bacterium. Its description in RNAcentral is "partial 16S ribosomal RNA". It matches the Rfam family "Bacterial small subunit ribosomal RNA", at positions 28 to 506 of the family's 1533-position model. The record is from RNAcentral.
GAUGAACGCUGGCGGCGUGCCUAAUACAUGCAAGUCGAGCGAACAGACGAGGGGCUUGCUCCUCUGACGUAAGCGGCGGACGGGUGAGUAACACGUGGAUAACCUACCUAUAGACCUGGGAUAACUUCGGGAAACCGGAGCUAAUACCGGAUAAUAUAUUGAACCGCAUGGUUCAUUAGUGAAAGACGGUUUUGCUGUCACUUAUAGAUGGAUCCGCGCCGCAUUAGCUAGUUGGUAAGGUAACGGCUUACCAAGGCGACGAUGCGUAGCCGACCUGAGAGGGUGAUCGGCCACACUGGAACUGAGACACGGUCCAGACUCCUACGGGAGGCAGCAGUAGGGAAUCUUCCGCAAUGGGCGAAAGCCUGACGGAGCAACGCCGCGUGAGUGAUGAAGGUCUUCGGAUCGUAAAACUCUGUUAUUAGGGAAGAACAAAUGUGUAAGUAACUAUGCACGUCUUGACGGUACCUAAUCAGAAAGCCACGGCUAACUACGU